RNAcentral lists this unclassified non-coding RNA (1095 nucleotides) under Hevea brasiliensis (rubber tree). The record is from RNAcentral. Lineage: Eukaryota; Viridiplantae; Streptophyta; Magnoliopsida; Malpighiales; Euphorbiaceae.
GUUUUGGCUGAGGAGAAGCAAUUUGUUGGUUCCACUUGUGGUUUUGAGUGAACUGUUUCGAGGAUGUAUUCCAUACCUGUUGACCAAAUCUGAUUUAUUAGAUAGUCUUGUGCCCAUUACCAGGUUCAAGGUGAUUCCUGGAUUAUAAUUUCUUUGUUGUGGGUUCUGUCUCUGGUUACCUGCAACUGGUUCUAUUCUUCUUUUUCAAAAGGAAAGGUGGAUAGGCAUAUGGGUUGUCAUGGUUUUAUUGUGAAAGAGGUGGGAUGAUAGACCCUCCUUUCUCCUGAUCCACUGUUUCUGAGACAAUUUGCUUAAUUAAGAUAACUUGGCAUGUUCUUUAUAUUUCAAAGCCAUGCUUCUUCCCUUUCUCAUUUAUUUGAUGAUAGAAUUGUGAAUUGAUAAAAUUUUAACCAAGGACUUAUCUGAUGCAGCUCCUUUGCUUUACCACUUGAGCUAAUGCCUAGUGCAUAUUAAGAUUGAAAUGACUAUCCAAUCAAAUCAGUGCCGUUCAUGUUUAAAGAGACUGAAUACCGGAUGGGUCAUUCUGUUUUGUUUCUAGCUGUAGUUUUGCUUCUGAAAUUUGGCUACAUUUGUUCUAUCACCGAGUGAUCUUCAUAAGGGUAGUGGUUGAGGUUGUGAGUGCAAAUGCAACAUGAUAUGAAAUCUAUUUGUUUUGCUAUUUUUUUGGUGAAUUCGAAAGGGAGGAAAAUCGAAAUUGUGGGGUUGUCUGGAUCAGAGGGAUAAGUGGCAUAUGCUUUUCAGGUUGCAAAUUUCAUAUCUGCUUCCUGGUCUUGAGGAGGUUGUCCUUUAUGGGGAGGUUCCUCCCGCAUAUUAUCCAUUUUUAGGUCAUAUUUUAACAUAAGAGUGUAUAUAAAUUUAAUUACAAGUAUAGUAAAUCAAAUGUCAGGGAUUCAGGAUUAUACUUGGUGUACAUUAUUUUUUAUGUAUGUCUGAAUUAAAAUUCUCUGUCCUUAAAUCAAUCUUAUCAGCUAAUGUUUAAUCUUCCUUGUAUGUUCUUUGUGCUCAUUCUGAUUGAGUUUGUGAUACUUAUUUGUCCAUCCAUUUUAGUUGCUCUUUGAUACCAAAUCAACCAGA